This 492-nucleotide ribosomal RNA is filed under the name uncultured bacterium. RNAcentral's name for it is "partial 16S ribosomal RNA". It matches the Rfam family "Bacterial small subunit ribosomal RNA", at positions 29 to 507 of the family's 1533-position model. The record is from RNAcentral.
AGUGAACGCUGGCGGUAGGCCUAACACAUGCAAGUCGAACGGCAGCACAGUAAGAGCUUGCUCUUACGGGUGGCGAGUGGCGGACGGGUGAGGAAUACAUCGGAAUCUACUUUUUCGUGGGGGAUAACGUAGGGAAACUUACGCUAAUACCGCAUACGACCUACGGGUGAAGGCAGGGGAUCUUCGGACCUUGCGCGAUUGAAUGAGCCGAUGUCGGAUUAGCUAGUUGGCGGGGUAAAGGCCCACCAAGGCGACGAUCCGUAGCUGGUCUGAGAGGAUGAUCAGCCACACUGGAACUGAGACACGGUCCAGACUCCUACGGGAGGCAGCAGUGGGGAAUAUUGGACAAUGGGCGCAAGCCUGAUCCAGCCAUACCGCGUGGGUGACGAAGGCCUUCGGGUUGUAAAGCCCUUUUGUUGGGAAAGAAAAGCAGCAGGUUAAUACCCCGCUGUUCUGACGGUACCCAAAGAAUAAGCACCGGCUAACUUCGUG